GUCUCCAUAGUGUAGUGGUUAUCACAUUUGCCUAACGUGUAAAAGGUCCUUGGUUUGAAACCAAGUGGAAACA
Molecule: non-coding RNA, 73 nt
Organism: Paramormyrops kingsleyae
Lineage: Eukaryota; Metazoa; Chordata; Actinopteri; Osteoglossiformes; Mormyridae
Source: the annotation of a RefSeq genome assembly